UACGUAGGGGGCUAGCGUUGUCCGGAAUCAUUGGGCGUAAAGCGCGUGUAGGCGGUCCGGUAAGUCCGCUGUGAAAGUCGGGGGCUCAACCCUCGAAAGCCGGUGGAAACUGUCGGGCUAGAGUGCGGAAGAGGCGAGUGGAAUUCCUGGUGUAGCGGUGAAAUUCGUAGAUAUUAGGAAGAACACCAGUGGCGAAGGCGGCUCACUGGCCCGGUACUGACGCUGAGGUGCGAAAGCGUGGGGAGCAAACAGG
RNAcentral lists this ribosomal RNA (253 nucleotides) under uncultured bacterium. RNAcentral describes it as "partial 16S ribosomal RNA". It matches the Rfam family "Bacterial small subunit ribosomal RNA", at positions 524 to 776 of the family's 1533-position model. The record is from RNAcentral.